RNAcentral lists this long non-coding RNA (237 nucleotides) under Manihot esculenta (cassava). RNAcentral describes it as "long non-coding RNA (MESC_LNC000094)". Lineage: Eukaryota; Viridiplantae; Streptophyta; Magnoliopsida; Malpighiales; Euphorbiaceae. The record is from RNAcentral.
UAGAGGGUCGAGCCCUUAACCUGCCACAUAUUAUGAUUCACUCUAUAGCAGACUCCCUUAGGCUGAGUCGAGGUUGUCUCCCCUUUGGUCGUCAUCUUACUCUUCUUCUUCGAGCUCUAGGGGUUGACCCAGGUACCGAGUCUGCCUUACCCUUGUCCAGUGAGUAUACCCCUUACACUGAGGCUACCCUCCUCCACAUGGGUCUGACUAGGAGAGGCAAUGAAUUUUAUAAUUCUA